This 301-nucleotide ribosomal RNA is filed under the name uncultured bacterium. RNAcentral describes it as "partial 16S ribosomal RNA". It matches the Rfam family "Bacterial small subunit ribosomal RNA", at positions 509 to 809 of the family's 1533-position model. The record is from RNAcentral.
CAGUAGCCGCGGGAAUACGUAGGGUGCGAGCGUUAAUCGGAAUUACUGGGCGUAAAGCGUGCGCAGGCGGUUGUGUAAGACAGGUGUGAAAUCCCCGGGCUUAACCUGGGAACUGCGCUUGUGACUGCACAGCUAGAGUAUGGCAGAGGGGGGUGGAAUUCCACGUGUAGCAGUGAAAUGCGUAGAGAUGUGGAGGAACACCGAUGGCGAAGGCAGCCCCCUGGGCCAAUACUGACGCUCAUGCACGAAAGCGUGGGGAGCAAACAGGAUUAGAUACCCGUGUAGUCCCUGUCUCUUAUAA